UACGUAGGGGGCAAGCGUUGUCCGGAAUUAUUGGGCGUAAAGAGCUCGUAGGCGGUCUGUCGCGUCUGCUGUGAAAACUCAGGGCUUAACCCUGAGCUUGCAGUGGGUACGGGCAGACUAGAGUGCGGUAGGGGAGACUGGAAUUCCUGGUGUAGCGGUGAAAUGCGCAGAUAUCAGGAAGAACACCAAUGGCGAAAGCAGCUCUCUGGGACGGUACUGACGCUGAGACGCGAAAGCGUGGGGAGCGAACAGG
This 253-nucleotide ribosomal RNA is filed under the name uncultured bacterium. RNAcentral describes it as "partial 16S ribosomal RNA". It matches the Rfam family "Bacterial small subunit ribosomal RNA", at positions 524 to 776 of the family's 1533-position model. The record is from RNAcentral.